Molecule: transfer RNA, 73 nt
Filed under: Dipodomys ordii (Ord's kangaroo rat)
Lineage: Eukaryota; Metazoa; Chordata; Mammalia; Rodentia; Heteromyidae
Rfam family: tRNA
About the family: Transfer RNA (tRNA) molecules are approximately 80 nucleotides in length. Their secondary structure includes four short double-helical elements and three loops (D, anti-codon, and T loops).
Source: Rfam by way of RNAcentral
GGGGGUAUGGCUUAAGUGAUAGAGCACUUGCUUAGCAAGAGAGAAGCCCUGAGUUUAAAUUUCAGUACCACCA